This 509-nucleotide ribosomal RNA is filed under the name uncultured bacterium. RNAcentral's name for it is "partial 16S ribosomal RNA". The stretch from base 20 to 332 matches the Rfam family "Bacterial small subunit ribosomal RNA", at positions 47 to 358 of the family's 1533-position model. The record is from RNAcentral.
GACGAACGCUGGCGGCGUGCUUAACACAUGCAAGUCGAACGGAAAGGCCCUGCUUUUGUGGGGUGCUCGAGUGGCGAACGGGUGAGUAACACGUGAGUAACCUGCCCUUGACUUUGGGAUAACUUCAGGAAACUGGGGCUAAUACCGGAUAGGAGCUCCUGCUGCAUGGUGGGGGUUGGAAAGUUUCGGCGGUUGGGGAUGGACUCGCGGCUUAUCAGCUUGUUGGUGGGGUAGUGGCUUACCAAGGCUUUGACGGGUAGCCGGCCUGAGAGGGUGACCGGCGAGUGGGGGGCGGGGAAGCGGCCACGAGGGCGAGGGGAGGCAGAAGGGGGGCAUAGGAGCAGGGGGGAGGAGGCCGGAUGCCGCCGCGCGGCGUGCGGGCCGCGGGCCGUGGGUUUGUAAGCGGGGGGCGCCGGGGACGAGGAGUGAGGGAGGGUGAUGGGGAAAGCAGCACCGGCUAACGACGCGCCAGCAGCCGCGGUAAUAAGCGGAAGAGCAGACGGCUGAAC